GAACGCUAGCGACAGGCCUAACACAUGCAAGUCGAGGGGCAGCACAAGGAGCAAUCUGAGGUGGCGACCGGCGCACGGGUGAGUAACACGUAUGCAACCUGCCUGUAAGCGGGGAAUAACCCGUUGAAAGACGGACUAAUACCGCAUAAUACUAAAUUACUGCAUGGUAAUUUAUUUAAACAUUUAUGGCUUACAGAUGGGCAUGCGCAUGAUUAGCUAGUUGGAGAGGUAACGGCUCCCCAAGGCAACGAUCAUUAGGGGUUCUGAGAGGAAGGUCCCCCACACUGGUACUGAGACACGGACCAGACUCCUACGGGAGGCAGCAGUGAGGAAUAUUGGUCAAUGGACGAGAGUCUGAACCAGCCAAGUCGCGUGCAGGAAGAAUGUCCUUAAUGGAUUGUAAACUGCUUUUGCAGGGGAAUAAAGUGCAUCACGUGUGAUGUUUUGUAUGUACUCUGCGAAUAAGGAUCGGCUAACUCCGUGCCAGCAGCCGC
RNAcentral lists this ribosomal RNA (494 nucleotides) under uncultured bacterium. Its description in RNAcentral is "bacterial SSU rRNA". It matches the Rfam family "Bacterial small subunit ribosomal RNA", at positions 31 to 518 of the family's 1533-position model. The record is from RNAcentral.